AACGCACGAGACCUGCGGACCUGCGGAAGGAUCAUUACAGGAAUCGCAAGACUCCCUGAAACCCCUGUGAACCUUACCGAACGUUGCCUCGGCGGGCGUCUGGCCUCGGCCGGACGUCGAGCCCGCCGGCGGCCCCCUACUCUCUCUCUGUAUUUGCUUCUCAGAGUCUCAAGAAAACAAGUCAAAACUUUUAACAAUGGAUCUCU
This 206-nucleotide unclassified non-coding RNA is filed under the name soil metagenome. RNAcentral describes it as "partial contains 5.8S ribosomal RNA, internal transcribed spacer 2, and large subunit ribosomal RNA". The record is from RNAcentral.